UACAGAGGUCCCAAGCGUUGCUCGGAUUCACUGGGUGUAAAGGGUGCGUAGGCGGCGAGGUAAGUCUGACGUGAAAUCUCCGGGCCCAACCCGGAAACUGCGUUGGAUACUAUCACGCUAGAGGAAUGGAGGGGAGACUGGAAUACUUGGUGUAGCAGUGAAAUGCGUAGAUAUCAAGUGGAACACCAGUGGCGAAGGCGAGUCUCUGGACAUUUCCUGACGCUGAGGCACGAAAGCCAGGGGAGCAAACGGG
Molecule: ribosomal RNA, 253 nt
Filed under: uncultured bacterium
Lineage: Bacteria
Description: partial 16S ribosomal RNA
Rfam family: Bacterial small subunit ribosomal RNA
Source: RNAcentral